This 358-nucleotide ribosomal RNA is filed under the name uncultured Alphaproteobacteria bacterium. Its description in RNAcentral is "bacterial SSU rRNA". It matches the Rfam family "Bacterial small subunit ribosomal RNA", at positions 114 to 507 of the family's 1533-position model. The record is from RNAcentral. Lineage: Bacteria; Pseudomonadati; Pseudomonadota; Alphaproteobacteria.
CACGUGGGAACGUGCCCUUCGGUUCGGAAUAACUCAGGGAAACUUGAGCUAAUACCGGAUACGCCCUUAUGGGGAAAGGUUGACCGCCGAAGGAUCGGCCCGCGUCUGAUUAGCUUGUUGGUGGGGUAACGGCCUACCAAGGCGACGAUCAGUAGCUGGUCUGAGAGGAUGAUCAGCCACACUGGGACUGAGACACGGCCCAGACUCCUACGGGAGGCAGCAGUGGGGAAUAUUGGACAAUGGGCGCAAGCCUGAUCCAGCCAUGCCGCGUGAGUGAUGAAGGCCUUAGGGUUGUAAAGCUCUUUUGUCCGGGACGAUAAUGACGGUACCGGAAGAAUAAGCCCCGGCUAACUUCGUG